UAGGGAAUUUUCGUCAAUGGGCGCAAGCCUGAACGAGCGAUGCCGCGUGAGUGAAGAAGGCCUUGGUCGUAAAGCUCUGUUGCGGGGGAAAAAAGGGACAGCAUCAGGAAAU
This 112-nucleotide ribosomal RNA is filed under the name uncultured bacterium. Its description in RNAcentral is "partial 16S ribosomal RNA". It matches the Rfam family "Bacterial small subunit ribosomal RNA", at positions 355 to 464 of the family's 1533-position model. The record is from RNAcentral.